AUACAAAAAAUUGGCCGGGCGUGGUGGUGGGCACCUGUAGUCCCAGCUACUCGGGGGGCUGAGGCAGGAGAAUGGUGUGAACCCGGGAGGCAGAGCUUGCAGUGAGCCGAGAUCGCGCCACUGCACUCCAGCCUGGAUGACAGAGCAAGACUCCAUCUCAAAAAAAAAAAAAAUGUGUGGUACAGUUAUUUUGUUUAUGUUAGUGAUUCAAUCAUAGAAACUAUUCAGUUUCUGGUAUCCCACUCUUACCUGGAGAAAAGAGGAAGCCGCUUUCAUCAGACACUGUGUUCACCCAGCGUAAGGAAAAAGUUGGUAAAAUCUAAAGGAAUCCUCAGACAUAUUAAUAAAAGUGUGCCCAGUCCCUCUCCACAACCCAUGUAGCCACUGUGGUCAGUACCUGCAGGGCAUCUCUCAAAUACCCCUAUGUCUAGUUCUGGUGAUAUCAGUCACUAAAAAUGGGAUCAGCUUGUGGCAGAUACCACCUUAAAUGCUCAUGUCUGUCUCAGUCACUAGGAGGAAAACCAGAGCCUGGAAACCAGAUCCAUUUUGAUGAAUGUCCAAGAUUUUGAGAGUGAAAAACUCCAAAAUGACAGCUCACAGUUGGCAGCUAGGCCAGAAGGUUCCCAAGGAACAUCAGAGGUAUUCCCGGAAUAUAAAGAGGCAAGGCCACAGAAUGACUCCACAUAGCAGAGGUGUUGCUACGAGAGGUGACACUGUCCCUGUCAGAAACAAGUCAGUGCCAAGGAGACUCAAUAACAAAAACAACUAAACAAUCCUUUCCUGCCUAACAUGAGUGACAACUGCUUCUAUAUCAGUGACUUCAAUCUCUCUGCCUCCUAGAUAAAAAUGAUUAAGGUAACUAGUCAUUAAUUGCACCCACUUCCAGACAAUAUCCAAUCCAGACUGACCCUCUCUUCCUCAAAUCCUCUUUAGAAUUACCAAGCAAAACCCCAAGUCCUAUAAGCCCAUCUCAACUCCCUCCUUAUGCAACACCCCAUGGUUCCUCUGCAGUGCCUGCUAAAUCUAACUUCGGGUUAUUACAGGUGCACGAGUGAUGGUCUUUGACUCAUGACCUUUAACUUGCUGUGGGUGUCUGUUGCUUUGGAGCAGCCCAGCGCUGAUUUCUACUUCUGAAAAGUGCCCUGACUUGCUUUGAAUUGGAUGCCAGUCUAGGAAGACUCAUAUCUGGGCCUCUUGUAGGCCAAGGUCAGGCAUGUACCUUAGCUUGAAAAUGAGAUACGCCUCCCUAGGAUUUGAAACCUGAGUGAGAGGCGCAGCACUGGGGGUGGUGUCCAGGCCAGACCGGCCAUGUUGCGAGACCACUGCCGUGCUUCCUGCUUCCUGGUCCUCUAGUCCUGCCCGUUCCUAGCCAGGGUCCUCAGCUUUCCCAUCAAUGCAGUAACUCCUUUCACUUAAUUGAGCCGGGGUCAAUUUUGCUGUUGCUUUCCAGCAAAGAGGAUGGAGAUGCACAACUGUCAUCUGAACAGUGGCACUCACUCACCACCUGAACAGAGGCGCUCAUUCUGCAUCAGGGCGGGUGAAAACGCCUUACGUUGAUCCACUCCUGGGGCUGGGGCCGGGACACUCAGGCCCUGGGAAUAUUGUUUCCACAGUUUUAUUAACCUGGAAAAUGUGUUCCUUUGUUCUGAUUGUGUGGUCACCAACAACGGCUGAUUUUUAAUAUGGGCUCUCAUACACCCUGUUACCGAUUAUCAGACACCAGAUCCUGGUCACAAGAAACAACAGCUCCCAUUUGUAAAUGAAUGCCUUGACAUUGAGCUUUACCCACAAUGGAGAGUUGGUUAACAGGAGGUGGUCUCUCUGUGCCUGAACAAUAUGUGUGUUCUGACAAAAUCAAAUCACCAGCCCUGCAAUCCCACAGACCUCACAGGCUCAGUUUGACCCACCAGGGAAUGCUGCCUCCAUAAGCUACUGGCCGCCUUCCAUGGCAUUUCUAUCUGUGACAACUGCCACAAGCUACCUCCGCUGGAUGUCAAACAGGCACUAAGCUUUGUGCACUGGGUCUUUGCUCAAAUGUCCUUUUUAGUAGGGAGAUGUGAUCCAAAGGGGUUUCAGGCUAAUACAUAGAGAUCCGGAAAGAUGCUAUGGUUCAUCUCUUCCUUCUGUCAUGUUGACAAGCUCUGGUGCCCACCUAUGUCCAGACUGGGCCCUGCUUUCAUGACUGAGGGCAGAAAACAGAGGCUCUGUCUGUGCCUGGGAAUCUUUGAAUUGGGUCCCUGAGUCAAAGCAUCUCCCAUCACCUUUAGAACUGCUCAGAAUGUUCAUGGAGAUAUUUUGCUUGUACUCAAGAGCAGUUGUGUUGGAAAUUUAGUGUGGUAGAGUAAUUAAAGCACAGACUGCUGGAGCAUGACUCCUGACACCAGUCACUAGCUUGACCUUGCGCAAGUUACUCACUCUCUCUACGCCUCACUUUCCCCAUCUGAAAAUGGGAAUAAUUGUAGGACAUAUCUCAUAGGGCCACUGUGACAUUUAAAUGCAUUAAUAGAUGUAAAUUUCAUAGGACAGGUACUUUACAUUCCUACCACUUACGAAGAAUUAUCUAACUCUUAGCUGUUAUUCUACAACAACUUUAGAAAGGGUGUUUUAUUGUCUGAGGGUAAUAUUUGCAAGCCAUAGAAUUUCUCAGGGUUUGCCAGCUUCUUUGAACAUAAAGGGAAAUUGGGGCAUUAGCAAACUGACACAGCAAUGGGUCUUGGUCUAAUGGGCAUACAGGUGAAAAGAUUCUAUUUGAAAAGUUUCUGGGUUUCCAUACUGUAAACUCUGUUUUGUAAGUUAACUCCAUGUCAUUUUGAAAUUUUGCAAACCCCUCUCUCCACACAUGUGCACUAACACGUGAACUCCACAAGGGCUGUCAUGUGUGUUUGAUCAAUGCUCCAUCUCCGCUGUCUGGAGUGGUGCUUUGGGACACAGUAGAUGCUCAAUAAACAGCUGUAAAUCAAAAACUUAAAUACUUAACCUUUUGGUCUAAGUGAACAAGAGGUUUUGACGUGUUCUUUGGUGGAUAUUAUCUGAGUUUUCACAAGACCUCAGUAUACUUGGCAAAGCAUUUCACAAUUGAUGGGCAAGCCAUCCAGCAUUUAAAAGUGAAAUUCAUGGAGCAUUCUACUGGAUGGUGCUGCUCUAACGAACCCAUGCUUCUGCUGGAAAUUUGCAGCAUUGUGAUUCUUAAAUCAUGGCAUUCUCAUAAGCCAAAGAGAUUGAGUGCAUUUUUGGAAAAUGAGCUCCUUAAGGAGAGGGCCUGAGUUGAUGCAACUGGCUCUGCAGGACACUCCUCCCCCCGAGUGCCCUCACUGGGACAGAGGCCCUUCAUGGUUUCUGAUGAUGGUUUUGGCUCCCCAAACUAGGCUCUCAGGACCCCUGGUCCCCAAAACAAGUAUUAGGAAUAACCAGGACAUUAUCGCAGAGAACUGGCAUUAAGGCACAGAGGCCCAUGGAGUCCCCAGGCACAGAUGAUGCCAUAUUCUGUACCUACCGGGUCAAGCAUGAAGAGGUCCACGCCUUGCCCUGUG
RNAcentral lists this long non-coding RNA (3530 nucleotides) under Homo sapiens (human). Its description in RNAcentral is "HSALNT0152429". The record is from RNAcentral. Lineage: Eukaryota; Metazoa; Chordata; Mammalia; Primates; Hominidae.